AGGUAAGCUACUAAGAGCGAAUGGUGGAUGCCUUGACUGGUAAAGGCGAUGAAGGACGUACUAGACUGCGAUAAGCUACGGGGAGCUGUCAAGAAGCUUUGAUCCGUAGAUUUCCGAAUGGGGCAACCCAAUGUAUAGAGAUAUACAUUACCUAUAUAGGAGCGAACGAGGGGAAUUGAAACAUCUUAGUACCCUCAGGAAAAGAAAUCAAUAGAGAUUGCGUCAGUAGCGGCGAGCGAAAGCGCAAGAGGGCAAACCCAGUGCUUGCACUGGGGGUUGUAGGACUGCAAUGUGCAAGAGCUGAGUUUAGCAGAACAUUCUGGAAAGUAUAGCCAUAGAGGGUGAUAGUCCCGUAUGCGAAAAACAAAGCUUAGCUAGCAGUAUCCUGAGUAGGGCGGGACACGAGGAAUCCUGUCUGAAUCCGGGUCGACCACGAUCCAACCCUAAAUACUAAUACCAGAUCGAUAGUGCACAAGUACCGUGAGGGAAAGGUGAAAAGAACUGAGGUGAUCAGAGUGAAAUAGAACCUGAAACCAUUUGCUUACAAUCAUUCAGAGCACUAUGUAGCAAUACAGUGUGAUGGACUGCCUUUUGCAUAAUGAGCCUGCGAGUUGUGGUGUCUGGCAAGGUUAAGCAAACGCGAAGCCGUAGCGAAAGCGAGUCUGAAUAGGGCGCUUAGUCAGAUGCUGCAGACCCGAAACGAAGUGAUCUAUCCAUGAGCAAGUUGAAGCUAGUGUAAGAACUAGUGGAGGACUGAACCCAUAGGCGUUGAAAAGCCCCGGGAUGACUUGUGGAUAGGGGUGAAAGGCCAAUCAAACUUCGUGAUAGCUGGUUCUCUCCGAAAUAUAUUUAGGUAUAGCGUUGUGUCGUAAUAUAAGGGGGUAGAGCACUGAAUGGGCUAGGGCAUACACCAAUGUACCAAACCCUAUCAAACUCCGAAUACCUUAUAUGUAAUCACAGCAGUCAGGCGGCGAGUGAUAAAAUCCGUCGUCAAGAGGGAAACAACCCAGACUACCAGCUAAGGUCCCUAAAUCUUACUUAAGUGGAAAACGAUGUGAAGUUACUUAAACAACCAGGAGGUUGGCUUAGAAGCAGCCAUCCUUUAAAGAAAGCGUAAUAGCUCACUGGUCUAGUGAUUUUGCGCGGAAAAUAUAACGGGGCUAAAGUAAGUACCGAAGCUGUAGACUU
This 1188-nucleotide ribosomal RNA is filed under the name Campylobacter jejuni. RNAcentral's name for it is "partial 23S ribosomal RNA". It matches the Rfam family "Bacterial large subunit ribosomal RNA", at positions 1 to 1209 of the family's 2925-position model. Lineage: Bacteria; Pseudomonadati; Campylobacterota; Epsilonproteobacteria; Campylobacterales; Campylobacteraceae. RNAcentral also lists the same sequence under 1 other name. The record is from RNAcentral.